GUGUUCGUGAAAAGGAGAAAUGGUUGGCAUCUCCCCUAACAGGGAUGGGAACAGGAUUCGGGCUUUCUUGUUACACACCUCUGUUAAGGUAUCCACCUCUUUGAUGUUGGAUCUAUAAAAAAUAUUUU
Trifolium pratense (red clover) is the source of this 128-nucleotide small nuclear RNA. Lineage: Eukaryota; Viridiplantae; Streptophyta; Magnoliopsida; Fabales; Fabaceae. The record is from RefSeq and is a predicted model, not a curated record.